Molecule: non-coding RNA, 229 nt
Rfam family: 6S / SsrS RNA
About the family: E. coli 6S RNA was the first non coding RNA to be sequenced, but its function was unknown until recently. It consists of 184 nucleotides that fold into an extended hairpin structure with a large single-stranded internal bulge.
UAUAUCCUGCUUCGUUCGUGAUAUUUCAGUUAAUUAAACCCACAAUUAUUAAAAGGAGUCCAAUUACAGUUAAGGGAUACAGACCUCCCCGGCUGCCCUGAGUUUGAGCCGCUAUACGCGUCUCACCACGGCAUACCGGGAAGUUGGGAGUACAAAUUGGCAGUGGAGGACACCUACCUUGCGAGAGCAGGGUUUUUAAUUGCUGAAUACACGGCGAAGCGGGUUUUUU